Benincasa hispida (wax gourd) is the source of this 2414-nucleotide RNA transcript. It is a transcript of the gene named arginine-rich cyclin 1, with no coding region annotated. NCBI's taxonomy places the organism in Eukaryota, Viridiplantae, Streptophyta, Magnoliopsida, Cucurbitales, Cucurbitaceae. The record is from RefSeq and is a predicted model, not a curated record.
AGAAACCCCUUCUUCUUCUCUUUUACAUAUCUAGCCCACCUUUGUCACCGCAUUGAUCCUCUCCCUCCGACACCGGCGUCCACCUCAACCCUCCGGUGGUAGCAGUUUUGCGUCGCAGGUCUUCUGCUAAGACUCACGGCACGGCAGUGCAACCUGCUCCGGCGAAAAACACGGCGGCACGCCUAAUUCUUGCGGCAUCUCCCUGACGUGUGCGAACUUCCUUUCAGCAACCUCUCUCUCUCGCAAAUCUCUCCCUCCGGCGACCUAUACUUAGAACUGACGUAACCUCCAACCACGUUAGGCUUGUAGCGGAAAACCCUUUCGUGCAUGAACCAGCAAAGACUCACUCGAUUUAAGCGGCUGCGCACAACUUUGGGUUAGUAGAAUCUUAGUUCGUGAAAGGAUUUAGGUCUGAUGAUUUACACGGCCAUCGACACGUUUUAUCUAACUGAUGAGCAGUUAAAGAACUCACCUUCGAGAAAGGAUGGGAUUGAUGAAGCCACUGAAACCACCCUGAGGAUCUAUGGUUGCGAUCUCAUCCAAGAGGCUGGCAUAUUGCUUAAAUUGCCUCAAGCAGUCAUGGCUACUGGACAAGUUUUAUUCCAUCGAUUCUAUUGCAAGAAAUCAUUUGCCCGCUUCAAUGUCAAGAAAGUUGCUUCUAGUUGCGUGUGGCUUGCAUCAAAGUUGGAGGAAAAUCCUAGGAAAGCCAGACAAGUAAUUAUUGUUUUUCACCGAAUGGAAUGCAGGAGAGAGAACUUACCUAUAGAGUUCUUGGACCCUACUCUCAAGAAAUAUGCAGACUUGAAGAUGGAGUUGAGCAGAACAGAGAGGCAUAUAUUGAAAGAGAUGGGUUUCAUUUGUCAUGUUGAACAUCCGCAUAAAUUCAUAUCUAACUACCUUGCAACCCUUGGAACACCUCCAGAAUUGAGGCAAGAAGCUUGGAAUCUAGCCAACGACAGUUUGCGUACAACCUUGUGCGUUCGAUUCAAGAGCGAAGUUGUGGCUUGUGGGGUUGUAUAUGCUGCUGCUCGGAGAUUUCAAGUACCCCUUCCUGAAAAUCCACCUUGGUGGAAGGCAUUUGAUGCAGAGAAGUCAGGAAUUGAUGAAGUUUGUCGAGUUUUGGCACAUUUGUAUACCCUUCCGAAGGCACAAUAUAUCCCAGUCUGCAAGGAUGGAGAUUCAUUUACAUUUUCUAAUAAGUCAUGGGAUUCACAAUCUCUUCCAGCCACCAAGGAAGUUCCACAAAGCAGUCCAACAGCCAACGAUGAUACUUCUAUGGUAAAAGCCACCGCUGGAACUAAUCCUGAAUCAGGGGGGUCCAAAGAUGAGAUGCUUAAAUUAGCCUUAAACAAGCUCAAGGAAUCUAAGAAGAGUGAUGACGAAUCCAAGAGCCAUACGCUUGAAGCCACUACUAGGGAGGAGCUUGUGCCAAAAUCAAAAUCUGAUCGAAGGGCUGAGAUUGGUGAAAGGAACAAGGAGAGAGAAAGAGACAGGGAUAGAGAAAGAGAGAGGGAAAGAGACAGAACCAAGUCUCGAGAUCGAGAUAGGGGUCGGGAUUCUGACAGAGAACGUGAGAGAGAGGAUGGAGACAGAGACAAAGCCAAGGAUCGAGCUCAUCGCUCAAAGGAUAGGGGGAAGGAACUAGGAGGGCAUUUGGAGAAAUCAAGACACCACUCGUCGCGAGAUCGUGAAUACCAUAGCUCAUCUUAUUCUUCACGCGAUAAAGAUCGUCAUAGGCAUCAUUGAUAGAUCAGGGUUUGAUCAAAAUCUUCUACAAUUGGUGGCAUUGACAUGUACAUGCAGUUUAGUAGUCGGUAUCUGGUUUCUUCUCUUGGAUUUGUACCAACUUCAAGUACACGAGUAUAGCGAAUGAGGUGUCCUGAUCUAUCGAGAUUGUACAAACAGAGGAAGCUUGUAAGCACCCAUCUUGGCUCGAUAAUUUUCUGUUCAACCAUUUUAGAUGACUACUUUUCAGGUUAAGAGCCAUUCAAUUCUUACUUUCCAACUCCGUGAGCUUUUCUAAAAUAUUUUGCCUCCGAAUGUUGGUGGGGCGCUGGAAUCUGAACUUUGAGUUUGUAUGAAGCCAGCUUUUAGGCCUAUAAUCAAUAGGAAUUGGAAUCAAAUUGAUUGAUAUGAAUAUGAAGAAUGUUGAAUGGAUGUAUUGGCGUGAUACUUAAGCGUUGACAAAGGUCGGUUGGUAUCUGCAGCUUUUCCUCAUUGAGAUUGAGAGGCUGUGCCAGGAAUGUAUCAAUGGUGUUGGACCUUAAGCUGUUUGUCACUCGAGUUACCGAGUAUUUCAAGUACAUUAUCUUACAUUUUUCUGUUCUCUUUAAUUCGUGGAAUGGUGUUAUUCAGUUAUUGACAUUACUUGAACAAGAUUUUCAAGUUCUAAAGAACAGUGUUAUUGAUCUUUA